This 254-nucleotide ribosomal RNA is filed under the name uncultured bacterium. Its description in RNAcentral is "partial 16S ribosomal RNA". It matches the Rfam family "Bacterial small subunit ribosomal RNA", at positions 524 to 776 of the family's 1533-position model. The record is from RNAcentral.
UACGGGGGGAGCAAGCGUUGUUCGGAUUUACUGGGCGUAAAGGGCGCGUAGGCGGUCGUGACAAGUCACUUGUGAAAUCUCCGGGCUUAACUCGGAACGGUCAAGUGAUACUGUCGGACUAGAGUACAGAAGGGGCAACUGGAAUUCUCGGUGUAGCGGUGAAAUGCGUAGAUAUCGGGAAGAACACCCGUGGCGAAGGCGGCUCUCUGGGACGGUACUGACGCUGAGACGCGAAAGCGUGGGGAGCGAACAGG